GAUGAACGCUGGCGGCGUGCUUAACACAUGCAAGUCGAACGGAAAGGCCCAAGCUUGCUUGGGUACUCGAGUGGCGAACGGGUGAGUAACACGUGGGUGAUCUGCCCUGCACUUCGGGAUAAGCCUGGGAAACUGGGUCUAUUACCGGAUAGGACCACAUUUUGGAUGGUGUGGUGGAAAGUUUUUCGGUGUGGGAUGAGCUCGCGGCCUAUCAGCUUGUUGGUGGGGUAAUGGCCUACCAAGGCGUCGACGGGUAGCCGGCCUGAGAGGGUGUACGGCCACAUUGGGACUGAGAUACGGCCCAGACUCCUACGGGAGGCAGCAGUGGGGAAUAUUGCACAAUGGGCGCAAGCCUGAUGCAGCGACGCCGCGUGGGGGAUGACGGCCUUCGGGUUGUAAACUCCUUUCGCUAGGGACGAAGCGUUAUGUGACGGUACCUGGAGAAGAAGCACCGGCUAACUACGUG
RNAcentral lists this ribosomal RNA (466 nucleotides) under uncultured bacterium. Its description in RNAcentral is "partial 16S ribosomal RNA". It matches the Rfam family "Bacterial small subunit ribosomal RNA", at positions 28 to 507 of the family's 1533-position model. The record is from RNAcentral.